This 10264-nucleotide long non-coding RNA is filed under the name Monomorium pharaonis (pharaoh ant). Its description in RNAcentral is "uncharacterized LOC114253920". Lineage: Eukaryota; Metazoa; Arthropoda; Insecta; Hymenoptera; Formicidae. The record is from RNAcentral.
CAUCAUUCGCCUCGGGUCGAAGAGUCGAUAAUUCCUGGCGAAGGUGUCCGUGAUGGAGCGAGGCCUCCCUCGCAAGGGAGGAUGUCACGAGAUAAGGUCGUCGACUCGCGACUGGGUGGAACCGAGGGACCACUUUCAGCGGGCGAUAACGACGAAAUCACGAGCGUGAUUCUCGUUUACGCGCGGGGUCCCUUUACUGGAUCGACUAACGUUCCCAUGGGAGAGCGUGGUAGUUGUAACCCAGCGACACGCCAGGUCUCCCCGCAAGACCAGGUGUAACGCUGGAACGGCAUUCCAUGUUGCAACUGAUGCGCGGCGCCGGUGCAACGAUCGUUGCACACGACCCCCGCGAGAGCGAGAGGCACGAUAACGCGAAGCUGAAAGUUUCGAAAGGUAUGGUGCAGUGCACAUUCGUGUCAGCGGAAUUGCUGAUAAGCUCUUUUAAACUUGAAAUUACUUUUAGAAUUUGUUAUGAAAUUAAAACUUUAUAAUAAACAUUCAUUAAACACAUAUUUUUUUAAGUUAAAUUUUUUUACGAAUUAAAACAAUUUUUAUAGCGGGCAAUAUUGCUAAUUUCUAAGAGAAUUCUAAAAAUAUCCAUCUUUUUUUUCACAUGGCCUGCGGUUGAAUUGACGUUGCUUUAGUCGUCCAUAAAUUUAUUAUCGUCGGAGCUUACUGGUCGACUUCCUUCUUGUUCCUCUCGAUGAGUUAAUAAACGAAGCGGCAUCCGUGGCUUAGCACGAUCGAUGCGUCAUCGGCCGUUAAGUGCGAUUAAUCGUGAGCGUGAUCAGGCGUGCUCGAUCGUCUGGUUCAGACCUCGAACUGGGUCUCUCUUCGAGAUUCACAACAUUUCUUGUACGCGACGAACGCAGCGUUAGAAGCCUUUUAUAUACCUAGUUUUAAAACUGAUAAUGCGCGUUCUUCAGUGACGAAGAAAUGGAAUAUUAAGAAUUAUGAUCAGAAAAAGUCACAAACUAAUUUCGGUAUCUGGAUUAUCAAAAGUUUUUGAGAAACAUAUAAUGUCGAUCACUGAAAGAGCGGUACACGCAAAGUUUUAUGAGUGACGCACAUUUUAAUAUAAAAAGAAUGACGCGACUUUUAUCUACAUUUCUUGAAAUCGUCACGUAUUUCGAAAUUCAAGUUAGAUUAAUUCAAAGGAAAUUAAGACUUUCGGUACAAUAAAAUGCAAAAUUGCUUGUAAGAAAGUAGUAAAUAAAUUUUUAAUAAAUUUUUGUCAAUUAAAAGAAUACGGGACAGGCAUUGGCAAAGCAAAAUUACGACGAAAUUCCACAAAGAAAGGUUUUGCAUAUCGGGAACUGCUUGCAUGUAUAAUUUCUAUUGAAUUGCUAAUUUCCACGUUGGGGCAAAUGAUACUCGCCACUCUUCGGUAUCGAGAGAAAACGCAUCAAGAAGGCAAUACCGCGGUAUCUGCCUCGAAAGAGCAUUCCGCCAUAACACAAGUUUAAUUGGGCUCCGGUCCUUCGCUGAGGAAUCAACGUUGGGACCCGCGCGAAAGGUCCAACGAGGGGAUUCCAGGAUGCUCUCGGAGGAUACAAUGUCGUUGUUACCACCUGGACCAUCUUCGUCCAGCCGGCGGGAUAAUUGCGCGAUGACAUAUCUGCGCUUUUUAUUAGCGACGGCCACACGUGGAUCGCGAGAAUCUCUUCGUCGGUUGGCAAUUAGACGAACGGAAGUACAGAAGUAUGCGAGCGUCGUAAAGCGGAGCGGCCCCUGGCACAAAUCGGCCCACCGGGACUCGGACGGGCGGGGGCAUUCGUCAAAUAAUUGACAAAUGGAUUUAAUUGCUGGUCAGAUUUCUUGCUUCGCUACCGUCAAACGCACGUGAACGCGAUGAGAUACUCGCGGCGCUAAUUGCUAGAUAAUUUAACGUCGCGGGUUGUUUUGAUACGGCCCCGGCCUUAAUAGCUUGACAGUGGAUUCAUUUCGUUGUUGGCACACACGAGAGUCACUCUUAAAAAUCGCCGUGUCGUGUUCUUCGAUUUUUUAAGGAAACUUUUUGUGGUCCGUAAACGUUGUUUUAUAUAUCGCAUCCGAGGAAGACACUUUGAAAUAUAACGGAGUUAUGUUUACCUGGAGGUUAUAUAUUACUUUUACGUUCUUGGAUUUCUUUUUUGCGCGUGUAUCGUUAGCUUAUUUGUCCAAGUACGUUCCGUAGCCGAUUGAUUAAACUGGGACGACCGAGGGGCUCGCCAUUGCUUUAUUAUGCACAGGUCGAGCGUCGUUCGAUUCGUUAUCUCGGUAUCCGCGGCUAAUUUACUCUGACAAAUACGGAUCGUUCGUUUGUCCAGGAUACAGCUGCGCGCUCAUGCAGGCCCCACAUCCAUGCCCGCCGCGAUCCACUUUAAUAAAGCGCACCGAUUACUCACCCGGAUGUUUUAGACCGGAUGGACAGCUCGGAUAUUAGCCCUCCAGUAUUAUCGUGGGGGUCAACGCUGACGGCGGUGCAAGAAAGCUGCGCCUACGUGCGGCGGAAAGUGGUGCAUUCAAAUGUUGCAAAUCUCUUCAUUUUGACGUGUGUGCAUUAAGAAUUUCUAUUAACUCUUUCAUUAACCCUGCGUAUUACCUUGUUUAUCUUUGCUCGUAAAAAAAGACUGUUUCGUAAAUUCAGAAGAGUAAAAUAAAGAAUAAGAAACUUUCGAAUUUAAAUAUUCAUAUGGCAUUACGUAUUCGAGAGAAGACCCUAUUCUUAAGUUCGAGACGGAAUUGUUUGGCCCCGAUCGAAAUUCAAUAAAAUUCGAAAGCUGCUAUAGGUUCGGAGAUCGUUUCAUAACGUUUCUAAGAGAGCCAUUCGUGUAUCGAGUUUCGGUCGCUGAUUUAAAUUUCAGUUGUGCCACUACUACGCGGGAAGGGCCCUCGAAUCAUUAGGAUCUCCAUAAACGGCGGACGGCCUAACGAAGCUUCCUUAAAAUACGCGACGUACGAGCGGUAACGCCGCAGCACCGCAGAAAGAAGAAAGGAAGGAAGAAAGAAGGAAAGGAGGAAGAUCGAGGCCGAAAGUACAUCUGCCGCCUACCCUAUAAACGCACUUGUAAAUCAAGACACGCGCGCAACCGCGAACCGCUUCGCUGGUGAGGCAGAGGCCUAUUGAGUCUUUGAAUUAUUAAUACGAGCUUGCUUACUGGUCCAAUCAAGUCCUCCCACCUGGCCACCUGGUCACUCCUUGGUCGAUGUUCUUUUAGCGAUAUACCAUAUUUGAAAGCGCGCUGCUCGGAUGAUCCUCGACACGAUUAAGCUCUUCGGCGUCUCUUAAGGAGACGGCGAAAAGGAAAGAAGAAAAAUUCAAAGCGCGCCGACGAGAGCUUCGUUCUCAGCGGAGAAGAAAGAGCUUCGGUGUAAUCCAUCACUCUACGUGUGGUAAUACGUAGGGAUGCGCCUCGGCGAACGAUGCGCGAUUUUAUUUUCCAGUGUUGAAGGGAUGUCUAUUGGGCGAAAUGGGCAGGUCGCCGAAAGAUUCUCGAAAAAGUUGUUCCACUUGACAGUCAUUCGUUCUUUUUUUUUUUUUUUUUUUAACGAACGGUUCUGUUUUCUAUUUUUUAUUGUUCAUUCCGUCCUUACAUCUUAAACAGGCGGAUGCAUCCGGGGAGAUCAGCUAUGUUUAUUGCAUGCCGAUUCGUUAAGCGUUUCUCGCACACCCGUCGGCUACCGUGCUCGUAACCAUCGACGAGAGACCAUGCGUGAACGUACGUCUCCCAUGCGCGGGAGAACCCAUGCCCGUGGCAGUGGGAGAACUUUAUGGAAUGGUAUGGGAGGGCGUCGGGUCGGCGCGUGGGCGGCCGCAGGCAGGACGCACGUCUGAAAGCUGGAGAGAGAUAGUCCGCGUGGUAUGCCACGAGGCCGAGGCUCGAGAGGGGAACACACGGGGGGGGGGGGGCAGAAAACGAAAAGAAAGGCGGGAGGAACGACGGAAAGAGAUAGGAGGAAGGAGAGAUGGCAAGAAAGAGGGAACGAGUCGUGGAAUAAGGAAGAACGAUCCUUCUAUGUAUCCACGUAUGGCAAAGGGAUACCGUAGGAGGAAGGGGGACCGAGAGAACGAGGAUAGACAGAAAGUACCGGGCACAAGAGCCUCGAUCCACGGCCGGUUAGGAAUAAAAGGAGUUUUAUAUGACGCCGUGGUUUAUGGCCGUGGGUUUUAUCUGAUCGCAUUGCCACCGGUGCGGAUUUCGCAAUAAAUUAGACCGAGGUGUAAUUAAAAGGGCACCAGUUGCCAUCGUCCCGCGCGACCGUCGUGUAGCCCACUACCGAAUGGAGAGGGUCUCCGUCCUUGGGAAUCUCUUCUUGGGCUUCUUUCGACAGUCGGGAGUACAACGAGCCACGAUAGAGUGUCUUGUUAAUAAUUACGCAAUCAACGCGGAUGUUCGAGCAGACGGAGCGAUCGAACGAUUGCAUUAUUUGAGGAGUGUAGUAAAAUUCUUCCAAUAUAAAAACACGCGUGUUGUAAUCUAUUUUUUUUGCGGGAAGUAUAUCAUUGUGAAUAAGUAAAGAAACUUUAAACUGGCAUUUUGUAUAAUAAGAAUUUUUAAUUAAAAUUUAUUAAUUAAAAACUCUUAUUCCAAAUGUGAGUUAGAGUUAAUUCGUUUACUCAACUGCAACAUAAUAUGUCAGAAAUUAUAAGGGACGUUAAGAAAUCAAGGAAACGGACGCUAAAACAACGAUUAAUUGAUUAGAAGCUUUGGCUCUUUAAGGUUUAAUUGCCAUUAAGCGGAUUGAAAGUUCCAUCUGCGUGCAUCAUAUGCGAUAUCGUUCAGCCGGGAAUGUGUAAUUCAGGGAUUUGAUGAGUGACCGGCGCGUGAUGAGCGAUGCGAUCCAGCGACGACUAAUUUGUCCGUUCGGCAAAUUGAAAUUACACGUUGCUCUCACGGCGCGCCGCGCCGUUUCUCUCGCACGACCGCUGAAUUAUUAUCGCGGUACAAUGCUUAUUCCCGAAAGGGAACGAUGAGCGAUUCGGGCGUUGGUAAGGAUAAUGCCGUGUGUUUCUGACUUUCUCCGCUUUCUGAUCCCCGUACCGCAUUUUCGCGAGCGUCAUUAAUUUUCAGAUAUACCGUAUAUUUUAACAGCGAAAUCAUGGACUGAUUAUUAUUAUGAGCGUCGCGAGCGACAGCCACGUGAGUUUAAUUAUUACUUUUGAACAUUCGCGUGCUCUCUCUCGAGGAACUUUUACGUCGCAAAUCAUGCAGCUUCCUUUCAUGAGAAUCAUUUUUUAUGAGAAUUGAAUCUCACGAAAACAAUGUUAAUGCUAGAACCUUAUUCACAUAUACUCGCGGACACGUGCCGCAUUCGCGAUAAUCGAAGAACAGCGUGGAACUGGUAAUGGACGCAAUCGUGAUAGAAAGAAAUAUGUUCAGAAGCGUUUUGCGGGCAAACUUGUUCGUGACCGAGGUAACAAUCGCGAGGGGUUUUUCAUAAACCGCGAUUUAUUUUACGAUCGUAUCUGUCAAUAUGUUUUUCUUUGAGUUACCGUCGCUGCUGCGCGAGUGAGUAUGCUUCCGCUUUAUCCACCGUCGUGGAAUCGUGACCGCAAAAUAAAUCUAAAGGCGCCUCAGGAUUGCCUUGGUCUCUCUCUCUCUCUCUCUUUCUCUUUUUCUUCUUCGGUUCAUCCUCGCAUUCUCACGGACCUACCCGCGGCCUCCCCGUUUCAUUCCGCGGUCUCCGUGGAAUUUUUACCAAUUUCUGUCCUCCGACGUUCCACGCUCAUCUUUCCUAAAAUUCCCCGAGGAUCCCGACGAUUCUUCUUCCUUAUUUCUCCACCAUACCUUUAUUGUGUUUUUACGAGAUUGCGUCUACCAUAUCCCUCUCUUUCUUUCUUCCGUUUCCUUUCACAGUUCCUUCAUCUCUUAUUUUCUUCCUCCGUCCGCGAUCGUCCUCCUGCCACCCGCCUGGCCUUUAUUACCGCCUCCUCCGUGCCUGGUUUCUUCGCGGAUCUAUUCGUCUCUCGUGGUCUUUCUCUUUCUCUGUCCUCUCGCUCUCUUCUCUCGCGUCUUCUUUCUCUCCCCCUUCGCCAACCCGGUGAUCUCCGACGAUUUCUCCGAGCGACCUCCUCCCCCUACGCCCCCGUCCCAGGAUCCCGACGAGAGAUAACCCUUAUAAACUGGAGCAUUAGUAAGGCGCGGAGCAGCUCCAUGAGAGGGUAUCUGCGAAUCUACACGUUGCGAGGGGGGGGGGGCGCAAAAGGCGUGCCACAAUAAGGCCCGGUAUAUAAACCAUAUCUGCAUCGAGCUGGCCCUCCGCCGCAGAGCAGCGAAUGUCGGACCACCACAAUGUAUAUCGCACGGUCAUACAGACGAGAGCACAGCAUCGCCAACCGGCCGAGUAACGUUCGAGUAUAUCUUCCUUCGAGCAUCUUACUUAUGCCCCAACCGGGAGGGCUCGCACAAAAAUCGACGUAAUUAUCGGGCUCGCGCUUCCUCGGGGAAAUUAAGCGCGAGGAUCGUGCUGCAUUAAGGCAGCGAUAAUGCCGAUGAGAUCGUGAUAAUUAAUUAAUUCCGCGCGAUAUACGAUGCAGCAGCAUUAACAUCAAUGAAAUAUCUUUUUACUCUCUAUUGCUAAUUUAUUUUCAUUGUAGGCGCUGAUGGAUUCAAUGUUCAUAUAAUUUGUCUCAGGUUCGAUAAAAUAUGGGAGACAUAAUAGUGUUGACUGUUCCAUUAUUAUUUAAUACAUUAUAUUAAAAUUUCGGGAAUGAGUUCGUGUUUAUAGCGCCGCGACGAAAGCGGGAUCUCAUGGAAGGAAUGUGAGGACGUUCGCGAUUAAGUUGUAUCAAAUUCGCGAUUGAGCACCUCAUGCAUCGCGAAUUUCACCGGUCGUAAAUGUCCGGCUCGUAGUGUUUCCCAUAAUCUACAAGGGUGAGAGGUAAGGGACCGGCGAGAGAAACGAGGAUCGAUUAUGGCUAUCUUCAACGAAGAGAGAGCGAAAGAGAGAGACGAGCAGAAUCAGACAGAAAAAUAGCCGUGAGAGGAGGAAGCACGAGACGCACGAUUAAAAAAAAAUACGAGGGAGACACGCGUGUGGUGGGAGGAUAAAAAGUGCAAAGCGUAAGAGUCGGAGAUGGCCGAUGUCCGAAUGAGCAAGAGGGAAGGAAUCAUGUGAUGGAAUAAAAAGUGCGAAGUGAGAGAAAGAAGGGAAUGAUGAAGAGGGGUGGAAGGGAAUGAGAGAGGGAGCGAGAGGGACAGCUGGCAAAUUCCUGGCUUGUGGUCGUCGGUCCUCAACGCGCAGGAGGGUAUCCAGGUGUGUGCGAAGGUGACGCUCUACAAUAACUCCUUCGGCUUUAUGCUGUGGGUGGUUUAUAGUUUAUGCGUUUCGCGGGACAAUCACGAGGCCGCGAACGAUCCGGGCUCUUAUUUCUACUGCUCUCCCGUCCUGCUCGAAAAACAACCUCCCUACCUGUUGUUUACGACAAAUUCGAGACGUCAUUGUGCCGACGAUACGUGGUCGCGCGCUCAUACAGCGCAUUCGCGACUUUGCAUUCUGAUGUCCCCGAGAUUUAAGAUACGCGAUGCGACUUCCUCAUCUUUUUUACGGAAUAAUUUUCCAUACGAAGUUAUCGAUAUUAUCGCGACCUCUCGAUGAGUGUCUCAAUAAACAGAGAUCUUCGAUUAAAUCUCCAUUCUUGAUCACCAAAACCCGAACGCGCGCGCGUCCAUUACCGGUCCCUUCCCUUUCAAAUUACGCAAAUGCUGGUUUCGCCGUACAUUAAAUUUAUAAUUACACCGAAGCCCGAUUUCUCGCGCCCGAUUUUCGUGGGAUCUAAUGAGCCGCUGCGAAAACGCGCCCCCACGCGUACCCUUAAUUUUACUCCCUGCAUCGAUCAUAAUUACCAGGCGUGAUAUAUGCGGCUCACAUCUACCGCAGGCAGGUGUGAGGAGUGCCCCUCGCGCGAGUGAUGCAACGCGUACCUCGCGAUAAAUCAAACUUCGAGAAGCGGCGCGGCCCCCGGAUCGAUGUCCGAGAUUGGCAACGUGCCAAUUUUCUCCCGGGAGUGAAAGCAGAUUUCGAGAAGGGCCGACUUGCGCACGACGUCCGCAAUGAUAGGUGUGAUAAAUGCAAUUAUUUACGGUCGAUUAAGAGCACUUCGACGGGCGUUUGAGCCGCCGCGGGUAUCCGAAGCGGCGAGAAAAUGCUUCCGAUCGAAGCCCCCGAUCGGAGGCGGCCGAGUUCACUCGCGUACGAGAGCUCUGUUCGAAUUUUAAGCAGAUUAUCUGCUCAUCCACUCGUAACGGCGCGGCAUGGCGUGUAUUAUGAAAGCCAAGCACCGCGGCCGUGCGGCUCGGUCGAUAUUUUUGCAUAUUUUAAUAAAUUGUCAUCAUAAAGUUCGUUUUCCGAUUGAGUUCAUGGAAUAAUGUAACAUUUAUAUCGUGAAAAUGAAGCUAAACGGAAUAUUGAAUAAAGUAGACAAUAAAUUAUUCAAAGCAAAUGAUAUGUAUGGAACGUUUCCAGUAUUACUAUCAUAUUAUUGUAACUUAAUAUACAAUCAGAAUAAUUUUUUUCUUUUUUUAUUUUUUCAGUUACGAAUGCGAGAGACAUGCAAGUUAACAAUGCGGUACGCAUGCUACCCUCUGUAUUAGCCUAGCAAAGAUCUCCGAUCGUAUCGAAUCGAAGAGGAGACUAUUCACGGAGCUGAGAUCCUUUAUUUCUUCUCGUGCUCCCGAGAUUUCCCCCUUUUCUCCGCUAUCCCCCUUUCCACCCCCUCAAGUGUAGCGUCUUCGAAUUGAUGCAUCGCCGUGUACGAGAAUAUUUCACGUCGCGCGUUUUGUCCCGCGCACGUGAAAAAUAUUCCACUCGCAACCCACGCACAAUGCGUAGAGAAACGUGUGGCGCGAGAGAUACAAGAAGAAAGGAAAUCUUCGAAAUAAAUCAUGGAUCUAGGCAACAGGUGUACGGAUUGCUUCACCAUUCGAGUUCUUGCGUCCAGCGCGUAGAGUGGGAGAUUCAUCUGAAACCAUCCACAUGUAUAUGUAUAUAGUUUUUUUUUUCUGAAUUACCAAAUAUGUCGCGCAUCGCACCGAGGAAAAUGUCCAUCAGGAAAUAAAAUCGUUUUUCUUUCGAACCACGAGAGAGCCACGGAUCUUCUCCGUAACCGUUCUGAAAAACUUUGACUUUGACGUAUUUCGUAUAUUUGUAUCGUAAAGAAUGUCUCUUAGUAAGUGAAAAUAUCCUCUGUAAAAGGCUCAAACCACAUUAUUCAUGUUAUUAUUAAGCUGUAGCGUGCGUAUUUGUGGCGUAUAGUUUGAUUAAUAUGAUUAUUUAUUAAUGUAGCUCAUGGAGACGGCAAAAAAAGCGGCUCGAUGGGGCAAAUGAACGUGUUGGGACCGAGAUGCGGUUCUAGGACCGGUCAAGAAGGAUGGCUUUCCGUGCCGAAUAAAAUGAUAUUAAUCGUAAGGGCCGGCGGGGGUCGGCGGCUCUCCUCUGUCCUAGUUCACAAUAAAUAAAUCCACAGGUCCCCCGGCCCCUGCGGUGUCCCAAUUAAUUCGAUCUUAUUGUAACGCGCGACGCAUCCUCGGGGAUACGCUCUUUGUGAUAUCGACUUUGGUCACGGUCCCCGAGUACAUUAUCAUUCGUCGUGCGUGUCCCCCGCCCCGAUGAAUUUAAUUAAGCCGCGAGCAACACGCUCCGGUCGCUCGAACUCGCCCCGUGCACGAGUUCCGAACGCGCGUGGAAUGCGCGUGUUGGAUAAAUAACUUUCAAAUUACACGCGUAACCAUUACGACGUCGCGCGACGAGGCGGCCCUCUUAUCGGGCCCUCCGUACAGCAAAGUCAAUUUAACUUCUCCCCGCGACUUCUUGGCCACGCCAAAAAAGUUACACAAGCAGCACCGAAGCGUGCUCAAGACCGCACGAAACAAAAUUAAUCCCUGCUAGUGUCGUGAACUGUUGUUGGAGCGGCACAUGUAUACACACACACAUAUAGCAGCUACAAUUCUCAUGAUAAUUAGAAACAACUUUACACGACAAGUCGUCCGUUUGCUACAACUCAAAAUAACUAAAUUUUUCGUUUAAUUCAUUAAAAUUUGCGAUUAUUUUUAAGUACGAUUUUAGUGUAACAAUUUUGAUCUAUUAAUUCAGUAGAUAAACAUAUUAGGUCUUCUAUUGAAUUCUCAUUAGAAUUAUCUUUUUUGUCGACGGCUAGAAAAUAACAAUUAUUUAGUUAUGUCAUUAUUAUACAGCAAAUGAGUGAUGUAUCAUAAACGGGGUAUUUUUCGUCGUUGUACAUAAUUAUAAACGUUUUAAUUAUACAUUUUUUUUUCCUUAAAAA